This is a long non-coding RNA of Eriocheir sinensis (Chinese mitten crab), 5163 nucleotides long. RefSeq lists it as uncharacterized. The record is from RefSeq and is a predicted model, not a curated record. The transcript is spliced from 3 exons. Lineage: Eukaryota; Metazoa; Arthropoda; Malacostraca; Decapoda; Varunidae.
GUGAGGAGGGUACCCGCUCUGCCUGCCCAUAUUUGUAUUGCAUUUUCACGGUGAUUUUGUGGAUUAAUCACUUUUCACGGCCGUCAGCUGGUGUGGUCGAAGGUUAUUUAAUCCAGUAUAGCAUCACAACCAGGGGGUUGAAUGGGGGUUCGGACAACGCAAGCUCAGACAUUGCCUUCACCACACUGGGGUACUCAUUUCUGAGCUAAAUUCAUUAAGCCAAGACAGAUAACACAUAAGAAGGCACCGACACAAAGGACUCCUGAGACAUGAUACAUCUGCUACACCAGAGAGGGUCUUCAAAAUAAUUACAUGGCAACGGAAUGUAAAAUGAAGCCGUUCAGGUGCAGCAUCAUACAGUGGUAGGUCAUCUGCAUGUAAUGCUUAGGAUUCAUGUUUGAUGCUAAUACAGAUUUGCAUGAUUAUGGAGACAAACCUGGAAACACUUACAUGAUAAACAACCUAAAGUGAAUAUAUAUAUAUUACCAUUUUUUAUUAUGGCAAGUUUGCAGUUAUGUAAUUCACAACUGACAAUAUUUCCAGUUUUAUUUCAGGAUGUAUCUAAGUGAAAGCUAGUCCUUAUGUGUGUGUGUGUGUGUGUGUGUGUGUAAUUCAUCAAGGCCUGAUCAUAAGCUGGACUCAUCAUUGCCAGCAAGUACUUUCCCAAUUAGUGCAAGGCUCAUUAUAGUAGUUGAUCUCUGGGUACUGUUGGGACCUUCACACACCACACACCCCAUCUUCCAUGCUCAAGGAGGGACAGUAACUACUCCUUGUCAGUGGAAAAAUCUUGGCCUGUGCGGGACUUGCACUUCUGCCUGCCAGGCUGCAAAGCCUGGCAGUGCAGAGCUUUAAUCACUGAGCUAUCUGAGCGAUGUGUAAUUAUCAUGGAUUGAUUACGAACUGGACCUGUCAUCAUCAGCGAGUACCCUCCCAGUUUGAGCAAUAAGGCUCAUUAUAGUUGAUCUCUGGGUACUGCUGGGACCUUAACACACCAUACACCCCAUCCUCCUUGGUCAAGGGGGAACAGUAACCACUCCUUGUCAGCAGAAAUAUCCUGGCCUGAGCCAGGCUCAAACAUCUGCCUGCCAGGCUGCAAAGCCUGGCAGUACAGAGCUUCAACCACCGAGCUAUUGGAGCGGUUUGUGUGUGUGUGUGUGUGUGUGUGUGUGUGUGUGUUCAAACGAAAUGCAUCCUCUAACAUGGUAACAUAAUAUCCAUAUUUGCCAGACUUCCAUUGCUAGUUCUGGUAACUCAACUAUACUUGACACUCUACACUCUUUGGCACCUGUUCUGAUACACUACUGUGCUAGUCUCAUUACCAUUAUUUUAUGAAGAUAGUAUAUGGUAAAAUUUACAAUAUAGGUCCAUAGAUUCUGUAUCCAUAUGAUAAUUUUUCAUAUUCGUAUAAAUUUUCAUAUUAUGGCUAUAGCAAUGUUUUAACAAAUACCUAAGACAGAAAUUUUUGUUCAGUCCUAGGUCAAGACACGCACGCACGCACACACGCACACACACACACACACACACACACACAGCAGCGACCAAACUACCGCAAACUCUGAGAGAACAUACUUAUGAAGAAAGGCUGGAGAAAUUGAGACUAACAACACUGGAAAGAAAAAGAGAGAGAGGGGAACUAAUAGCAUUAUACAGGAUACAAGAGGGAUUGGAGAAAUUGGACAGGGAAGAUUUAGUGGUACGUGGCAGGAGUGUGACAAGAGGGAGUAGUAAUAAAUUGAAGAAGAGCGACUGUAGGUUAGACAUCAAGAAAUACAGUUUUCCAUACAGAAGCAUAACAACAUGGAACGGACUUGACAAGGAGACUGUGUGUGCAAAAACGAUUCAUGAAUUUAAAGCCAAACUGGAUAAUAAGUGUUAUGGAGACGGGACAGCACGAGCCUAGUGUGGCUCUUUUCCUGUAUUUCACAACUAGGUAAACACACACACACAUACACACACACACACACACACACACACACACAGUACUAGUGACAUCCUUGUUCCACACCAAAUCAAAGCCAAGGUAAUCUCCCUAACCAUGUAAGAGUAUCUAAAGUCUUGCAUUUUUAAACAUUCUCUUCAUACUCUUUAGGUUGUCAGCUUUGAGGGAGUCAUUCACCACAUACUGUAGAUGGUAAUUUUCCCAUGAGUAACAAGUUAAAGGUUUAUGAAUAUAAUAUGAAAUAUGAAAAAUGAUAAUGAGAAAAAUAUAUUUAUAUAUAUGUAUAUACAAAAUGACAAUUUCAAGCUGCAUAAAUAUUGAUAAUGUAAUGGUCAUCAGAUUUUUUUAGUUGAUCAAAUAAAUCUAUUGAAUGCAUAACCUGAAACUUAACUGUAAAUAUCUUGGUUUACAUAACCUUCCUGUAAUUUAGGUAUUUCCUAAAAUGAUUCACUAGACUGAAUAUCACAGGUAACCUUGUGUUUCGUGCUAUUUCCUAACAUUUUUCUUAUUUCACCCAUAAUUAAAUACUAAGCUCCCAAUACUACUAUGGGUUGUAGCUGUAUGCUUCUGGACAUUUAAUGUUAUGCCUGGAGUUGUAAAAAUUUCCUCAAGGGUUGCUUGAAGUUGAUCAUACUUGAUGUCAAGUGUUCCACUCUACUGUCCCCACAAAGGUUCAUUGUUGCAGGAAUGUCCCAGGCCAUAUCUAUCCCAGACCAUACCUAUUGUGCUAAACCACACCUAACUCACCCUUCUUUCAUAUUGUUUUGCAGUUGUCUGUUCUUUGGGUGUCUUGAAUCUCAUCUCUAUACAUAAUUCCGAUGCUCCGUCACCUCUGCCACCUCCCAAUGAGGGUCCUUUAAUCUAAAGAAUGUUUUAAAUAGAUUUUUAAGCAGUUUGCUUUCUUCCAUUUUAUGGUUAUAAUAAUAUUUCAUAGUACCUUUUCCAUUUGAACCACUUUGAUCAUACAGUUAACUUCAAAAACCCUCUCUUCUAUUGUCUUCCACAUUGUUUCAAAACAAUAUCCUUAUAUUCUUAUUUCACAUACUGUUUACACCUUUACAAGUAACAAAGUUACAUUAUUGAUUUAUUUCCAUUGACACACCAUAAAUACAAUCCUUUUCACCAUUUUCUCUGGAUUGUACUGCCGGGACCUCACACACCACACCCCCUCCCCCUUGCUCAAGGGGCAACACUAACCACUCCUACUCAGCGGAUAAAACCCGACUGAGUGGGGCUCGAACCUCUGCCUGCCACGCUGUGAAGCCUGGCAGGGCAGCGCUUCAACCGUGAGCUAUCGGAGUGGUGUGUGUGUGUAUUUACCUAUUUGUAGUCUACCGGGCCUGAGCUAAGCUCUGAUAGUCCCGUCUCCAUAUCUACAUUUAUCCAGCCUUUCCUGCAUUUGUUGGACACUGUUUGCCUCCACCACCUCCUCCUGCAAGCUGUUCCAUGUGUUAACACUUCUAUGUGGAAAACUAUACUUUUAGAUUUCAAGUCACUCAAACAGGUUCCUUUAUUAAGUUUGUUCCUAUGUCCUCUCAGCCCCUGCGUUCUCGCAGUUAAGAAGAAAUCAUCUCUAUCCACCUCAUCAAACUUAUUUACCAACUUAUACAGCAUGAUUAGAUCUCCUCUCUCCCUUCUUUGUUCCAGUGUCGUCAAGUCCAUCUCUUUCAAUCUGUCUUCAUACAUCAUAUUUGAGUGUGUGUGUGUGUGUGUGUGUGUGUGUGUGAAAGCACACUUAACUCUUAUUUUUGGUUACAGGAUUUGAGCUGCAUUUGUGUUUUUCCAUCCCCAUAUCUGCUUUUAUCCAAAAUUGCUUUCAGUUCAUUUAUGUUUCUUGCUCACAUUAUCUCUGCUCAAGACCAUUCCAAAUGUUGGUGGGAAAUGUAGAUUUAUUUACAAUGUUCAUGUCCUAAUUUCUCAGUUCUCACUGCUUGUCUACUUGUUCCAGUCUUUAAGCUAAUGAGUUUGUAAUUGUUGUGGGCUUUCUUUAAAUAUUAAUUAUCAUGUUUUACAUAAUUCUUUAUUGCCACUGCACCUUCAGAUUGCUUAGUUUUUUUCAAAUAUAACCCAUAUUUGCUCUAUACACUUAAGAAUUUUUCAUUACACACACACACACACACACACACACACACAGAUACAAAAAGUGGAAAUGAAGAUCAAAUAAUGUGGGAUACAAGAGAAUCAAGAGGUUAUGGAAGGAAGAUAGAAAAGGAAGCCUGUAGAAGAGACAUAAGAUUGGUGGAUACCUGGAAUGGCCUGGAAAAAGAUGUGGUUUGUGAAAAGACGAUUCUUGAUUUUAAGGCCAAGUUUGAUAAUAGUAGAUAUAGAGACAGGACAGUAUGAGUGUAGCUCCUCUCCUAUAUACCACAACUACCUAAAUACACACACAAGAUGGACAUCCCAGUCUCAAAUUUUCCAAAUUUUGGAUUCCUUGGUUAAAAUGUAGACUCAAUUUUUCAAUAUACCUGCAUUUCCUGUCAUUAAUUGUGACUCAUUGAAUGUCUACCAGAUUGUGUGCACAGUUGCAGAAUAUUUUUGAUGUGUGAUCGUGAGUGCAUGGAUGGUAUGCUUAUUACCUUUAAGUAAUUUUUUAACCAUCAGUGGCUUCAAAACAAACAUUUCUGGAUUUCAAUCAUAAUACAUAGAAAAUCUGCCAUUCAGUGGAUGCAGUUAGAGAAAUGUAAGUAAGUUCAGACAUGGACUGGGAACCAAUUUAAGUGUGGCCAGUAAAAAUAUGGAUAAUGGCCGUCAGCUGUAUCAGUGUUGAUGUUUCAGAGUGGAAUAUGGAGCUGUGCUUUGGUAACUUCUAAAAAGGCAUUAAUUGUAGUAAUGGAGUAGAACGACAAGUUUGAGGUCUUACAAGGAAAGGUUGAUAAAAAAGACUAACAACAUAGGAAAGAGGUAAUAUUCAAGGCUAACAUGUCUGCAGUGAUGUAGACUCAAUUACAGAUAGAAUAUCAAAGAAAAAGGAAGGAUGACUGGGUAUUACUUAGAUGUAAUAUAUAUAGAGAAUAUUAAGCAAUAAUUCCCCAUAGAUGUAUAGCCCUUUGGAAUGGUCUAGAGUUAGAGGUGGUGUGUGAACAAAAUAUCCAUAUAUUAAAUAGAUUAGAUAGUAGCAGCAGGUAUGGAGAACAUAAUGAGUACAGCACAUUGUGUAUGCAAUAAUCAAGUAAAAACAUGGGUUACUGUCAGGGUUGGCAGUUUAAACCAAAUGGUUUGAACCA